Molecule: non-coding RNA, 754 nt
Organism: Microcebus murinus (gray mouse lemur)
Lineage: Eukaryota; Metazoa; Chordata; Mammalia; Primates; Cheirogaleidae
Source: RefSeq, a predicted model, not a curated record
GGGAGAAUGAAGCAACAUGGCGCCUGCCCAUUGGCUCAGAGACACUCUGGCUGGCGGUCUUUCUCGUUCGCCAUCUUGAGUUGCUGUCUCCACCUGGCUGCGUUUUAAAGCUGCAGUCCCCAACUCCCGGGACGCACCUGUACCGUUAGCAGAUUUCCCCUAAAAAAUCUGGAUUUCUGCUUUUCCUGAAACAUUGGAAGGCAUACAGUUCUGGACCUUUCUUUCCAUGCUACACUGGUCAUGUUGAGACAGCAGAGCGACCUGUCUUCUCUACCCAAGGAACAUGUGCCCUUUCAGAAAGGUCUCCAAGGAACUUUGCUAAAUAAACAUGAAAACCAGCAAUCACUCAGAAUUGAAAAGCAGCAUAAAUGGUCCCAAAUGCCAGUGUUCUCAUCCACAGAGCUUUUCCCCAGUGCUGGAGUUGGCAUUCUUCAUCACUGUGCUUCAGCUGAAAUAACACCAGAACUUUUCAAAGGAGAGUGAGGAGGCUCCUGAGAACCUUCGAGAAGCUGCAUUCAUUGUACAGGCAAGCAUGAUGAAAAUGAAGUUUAUUGAGGAGAGAAAGAUAGGACUAUAGGACAAGUGCAAGAUAUAGGUUUACGGGGCAUGAUAUAUACACCAAAGAUGACGAUCGGACCCAUUGCUGCAACAAAGGGAGAGCAGAAGGAAGGGGCCAAAAAGGGCGUAAUUCCUUCUUAAAUGAGCAGAAGGCAUUCUGCGACACUGAGUACCCUCCGUAUGCUCCUAAAAGUGG